RNAcentral lists this long non-coding RNA (688 nucleotides) under Homo sapiens (human). Its description in RNAcentral is "HSALNT0387386". Lineage: Eukaryota; Metazoa; Chordata; Mammalia; Primates; Hominidae. The record is from RNAcentral.
AGCCUUGAAUAAAGGCUUUGCCUUUCAAACUCUGUCCUGCCCAUUUUUCUUUGACAUGUUCAGAUGUUGGCAAGGCUGAAAACUGCAGGGGAUCUGGUUGUGAUAAUCCAGGCCUGAAUAUAUACAAAUAUGAACAAGACCCACAAGGACUGCUCAUCACCCCAGUAUUCCAUUUACAACAUCCUGAAUGAACUCCCGACCAGGCCUAUAAUUCUCUCUUGCAGCCAAAUAUCCUGCUUACUCCUGGUAUCUACCUGGUCAGCAGACCUCAUGAGUUAUCGCCCAGUGACAAAACCAUCCCAAAGAUGCACCAGUCCAGCACAAAGUAUGACUGUCAAUCUCACAAAAGAUGUAGGGUUCUACGAGGAUACUCAGAGUAUAAGAAUUACGCUAAGUGAAAUAAGCCAAGCCCAGAAAGACACAUACUUUAUUAUUUCAUGUAUCUGUGGAAUCUAAAAGAGUCAAAUUCAUGGCAGCAGGGAGAGGGCUGAAGAAGGGGGAGAUGUUGAUCAAAGUUUCUAUGUAUACAAAGACCAAACCAUCACAUUAUGCCUCAUAAAUAUAUACAAUUAUUAUUUGCUAAUUACAAGUAAAGCAAUACAAGAAGAAAAAAAGGAAUCAUAAGUAAAUCCAUGACAAGUGAAAACGCAAUGGAGAGAAGGGAAUCAAUGAUUGAAGAAGAGAAAGG